CUGGCUCAGAACGAACGCUGGCGGCAGGCUUAAUACAUGCAAGUCGAACGGCUGUAGCAAUACAGCAGUGGCAGACGGGUGAGUAACACGUGGGAACCUACCUAGGGGUACGGAAUAACUCAGGGAAACUUGUGCUAAUACCGUAUACGACCUCAGGGUGAAAGAUUUAUCGCCCCUAGAUGGGCCCGCGUUGGAUUAGCUAGUUGGUGAGGUAAAAGCUCACCAAGGCGACGAUCCAUAGCUGGUCUGAGAGGAUGAUCAGCCACACUGGGACUGAGACACGGCCCAGACUCCUACGGGAGGCAGCAGUAGGGAAUCUUGGACAAUGGGCGAAAGCCUGAUCCAGCCAUGCCGCGUGUGUGAUGAAGGCCUUAGGGUUGUAAAGCACUUUCGCCAGGGAAGAUAAUGACGGUACCUGGAUAAGAAGCCCCGGCUAACUUCGUGCCAGCAGCCGCGGUAAUACGAAGGGGGCUAGCGUUGUUCGGAAUUACUGGGCGUAAAGCGCACGUAGGCGGUUUUCCAAGUUGGAGGUGAAAUCCCCGGGCUUAAC
This 550-nucleotide ribosomal RNA is filed under the name uncultured Alphaproteobacteria bacterium. RNAcentral describes it as "bacterial SSU rRNA". It matches the Rfam family "Bacterial small subunit ribosomal RNA", at positions 19 to 613 of the family's 1533-position model. Lineage: Bacteria; Pseudomonadati; Pseudomonadota; Alphaproteobacteria. The record is from RNAcentral.